UACGUAGGGUGCGAGCGUUAAUCGGAAUUACUGGGCGUAAAGCGUGCGCAGGCGGUUCGUUGUGUCCGAUGUGAAAGCCCCGAGCCUAACUUGGGAAUGGCAUUGGAAACUGGCGAGCUGGAGUGUGGCAGAGGGGGGUGGAAUUCCACGUGUAGCAGUGAAAUGCGUAGAGAUGUGGAGGAACACCGAUGGCGAAGGCAGCCCCCUGGGCCAACACUGACGCUCAGGCACGAAAGCGUGGGGAGCAAACAGG
This 253-nucleotide ribosomal RNA is filed under the name uncultured bacterium. RNAcentral describes it as "partial 16S ribosomal RNA". It matches the Rfam family "Bacterial small subunit ribosomal RNA", at positions 524 to 776 of the family's 1533-position model. The record is from RNAcentral.